Xiphophorus hellerii (green swordtail) is the source of this 1668-nucleotide long non-coding RNA. RefSeq lists it as uncharacterized. Lineage: Eukaryota; Metazoa; Chordata; Actinopteri; Cyprinodontiformes; Poeciliidae. The record is from RefSeq and is a predicted model, not a curated record. The transcript has 2 exons.
GUAACCCACAUAAAGUGGGUAUGCCACUUUAAGAGAAGAGGUUAAGGAAGCUGGGUGGUCUGCCUGGCCAAUGAGAAGUUUGGUUUCCAGAGCGUCUGGACCAAUCAGGGUGCAGGCUGCCGUUGUGGAUCCCGCCCUUCUCCCCCGGGUCUGCAGUACCGUUGGUUUUGCUCUAGAGAUCCGACGCGGUGAGACUGCUGAGCGGGGCAGCGCCAGAGUAUGUAUCCCGACAGUUAAAAGUAUUUUUUACGUGCUGUAUUAACUGUAUUGUGGAUAAACUCUUUUGUAAAUAGAUUUUAUGUUGAUUGUCCAGCUUUUGUGCUGGAAAUUAUUUAUUAAAUGAAUACAAACUGAACUUCAGUUUUUUACCGUUAGAGCCGUUAGGAAUCGUUGGCUCUUUCUGGCAGUUAUUUCAGCUUGUUCUUCGUAGAUAAAAGGUAAAAUUUAGGCUUUAACAUAAUUUUAUUUUAUUAAGUUUAUAUUAUUUAGAUCAAAUAUGCCUUGUUACAUCGUUUAGUGCCCCACGCAUCCGGAUUGAGACCCACUAUACGGUUGUCUGAAGUGUGUCGCACUGAGAUCGGUCAGGUUUUUUUUUAUACUGGAUCAUUCCUGAAGUGGAUCCCUCCUUUGAUAUUGAUGGCGAGCCUUCCCACCUGGACCUAAAGAGAGAACCAGAUUUCGUCUAUCCCAUUUGGAGUCAUGCUGCACCCUGCGGUGUGGUAGGAGAGCAACAUACAUCUUCACACACGGUUAUGUGUGAAACCUACAGCUGACAUUCUCCAUUAUUAUUGUUUUUUUUUUAUUUAUUGAUUUUUGGACAAUACUGUUUGGAUUGUUUUAUUUCGGACAUUGUGACGCACAGCUGUGGUGGAAAUUCUCCUGUGAAUGAAGUUGAAUCAAACCAAAUUGGGAUUAAUUUGAUUAAUCUGCUGACUAAUACAAUUUGGAGUGCAGAUUACCAGGGUGCACCCGAAUUAUUUGAAAUUAAGAAUUAGCACUUGGCCAAGUAUUAUUGUUAUUUCUUUUUUUUUUUUUCAUUUUAUUGUGUGUAAUUUUAUUUUCAUAAUUGUGUGUUUUGUGCAACUGUUAAUUGUGUGUUUUCUGUCACUAAAACCAGUUCUUUAAAUACACCCAACUGCCCUUGUGUGUCAUUUAAACACUCCACUGUGCUCCGAUAGCCGAACCUAUUGGCCCAUUUAUCCAAAAUAUAUGUAAUACCCUUCUCUACUGUGUUACAGAGGAAGCUAUGGCGAGCCAGCCAGGAGCAUGAGUGUGUGUGUUUAAGUGUCAGACAUCUUACACAUAUUGUUAGAACGUGCCAAGUACUUCUCCUUAAAAACAAAAAAAAAAUAAAAAACCAAAUAUGGAUGUGGUACUCCGGGAGUCCAUCCAAAUUCCCCAUUCUGUGGUUGUUAGUGGUUUAACAGGGUCAGAGACAGAUGAGGAAGUGUCAACCUUUCUCCAGAAGUAUGGUUCCAUUAACCGUUACAUUUGCUUAGAUGAUCCUAAGUCAGAUUACCAUAAAAACAUGAUCGUUGAGUUUGCACAUGAAACUGCCAUGCAGACAUUGGAACCAUUGUUGCCUCUUCAGUUUCCAAGCAUGACUCAAGCAGGCAUUGUGUAUGAGUUAAAGGCUUUAGGAAGUGUCUACACCAUAGAUGCCAGAAG